RNAcentral lists this long non-coding RNA (229 nucleotides) under Lathyrus oleraceus (garden pea). RNAcentral's name for it is "Pisum sativum (pea) long non-coding RNA (PSAT_LNC007675)". Lineage: Eukaryota; Viridiplantae; Streptophyta; Magnoliopsida; Fabales; Fabaceae. The record is from RNAcentral.
UUAUUUUCAAAUAAAUGUUAGAAUUGAUAUCAAAGUAAUUUUAACAAAUUAUAGAUUAAUUUGAUUUUAAUUGGUUUUAUUGGUUUUUUGAUUUUAAAUUGACAUUUAGAUGAGUUUUAGAUUAUUUCAAAAAAAUCCAUAUCCAUUUCUAUAACCACAAAUUCAUUUCAUUCAAACCAAAUUCCAUGAAUAAUUUCAAACCAAGUUACAAUUUCACUUCCAAUUCAUU